Molecule: long non-coding RNA, 1540 nt
Organism: Neogale vison (American mink)
Lineage: Eukaryota; Metazoa; Chordata; Mammalia; Carnivora; Mustelidae
Exons: 4
Source: RefSeq, a predicted model, not a curated record
GAUACGUGAACCUGAUGAAUGCUGGAAGGAAGCCCCGCGCUCUGGCUGGUCCCUGGAGUCCAAGCCACGGGCUCCAGGCCCAGGUUAUUCCAAGGACUCGGGAUCUCCUGCAGCAGCAGUCUCAGAAGUCACGAGCCCUCUCUGGUGCUGAGGCCUCGGCCAUUGUCCCAAUCACAGGACUUCCAGGGUCGGGCUCUGAGGGGCCAUGCCUGCUGCCCCAAGAUUGCCAGGGACAGGGGCACGUGAGUGGCUCAGUCAGGUGGAGGAAGAAGCCAGGACCUGAGGAAUGCAGACAGCCUCGAGGCUGGAAAGGGCAAGGAAACAGAUUGUUCCCGAGAGCCUCCAGAAGGAACAAGCCUGCUGACACCUUGACUUCAGCCCAGUAAGACCCACUUCAAGCUGCUGACGUCCAGAACUAAAUGUGCAGGCCUGAAACACCUGAAUUUUUCCUGGAAUACUUGAAAGCAAAUUAUGCGCCGGAACCUCUCAGGCCUGUUCCCAGCGGAAUUUCCUUUGAGUGCUCAUAUCUUGAAACCUUAUGUAACCUGACACAAUUAUCUGAAAAGGCUCGGAAUCCAAAAGAACAGUGUUCUGAGCUAGGAAUGAAGGUUGGAGCUGGGAAAGACGUGUCCUCCCCCUGCCCGGGGACUGGGUCAUACUUCACUGCGACAAUACCCAAUUCACAUUCCAAAGAAAAAUGCUAACCCUCUGACACUGUGACCAGGGGGAGGCUUUGCUUCAUCUCUCCAAGCAAGGAAUCACUUAACGAGGUGCUCGAGGGACAUUACAAAAGCCCUAGACCUGGCUGGUGAUUAAAAAUAUUUCGAUAACCACCAUGAGCAAGUGGUCUUCCCAGGAUGGAAGCCAGAAUGGCUUGGGCCCCUUUUGGGGAAUAUACCCCCCCCUCCACCAACUCAAAAAUCAACCCAUUUGAAGAGGUGGCGUCUCACACCAGCAGUUAGCAGUACAAAUGGGAUACAUACGGGGGAGUCUGGAAACCUUAUUUUCACCCGGUGAUGGGUCCAGGUGAUUCUGACUCAAGCCCAGCCCAAGACUCCAUCUCCCCAGGCCAACCCCCAACUCCAGGGAGAAGUGGGGAAUGAGGACACAAACUCUAAGUGCAGACCUAAAACUGGGGCUCCAUGAGAUGACCCCGCAUUCCAGAAAGCCCCUGACCCAAGAAGCUUCCUCUGCCCCUUAUUUUGUUUCACUUUCAGAAAUCCCCAUCCUGCUCACCAUUUGCAUACCAGCGGUGAGAGACCUCCUAGGAGAACAGGCACCACUCAUAGGUGGUUGGCUUUUCAAGGAAUUUGCUGGAGAAAAUUGUAGGCAAGGCUGUGAACAAAACCCCCCUCCAUCUGGUUUCAGUUUAUUUAAAAAAACAACGCACACAGGCCUCCCCACCAGCAAUCAGAAAACAGCCACAGCUUCCCCAGGGGGGUAUUAGCCACCAAGGGUGGGGUGAAUUUUAUAUAUGUAAAUAAAGUAAAUCAGCUAGCCAACAGCAACUAAUUUUUGUAUCUUUUGCAGUUGUUCUGCC